Molecule: ribosomal RNA, 1371 nt
Filed under: uncultured bacterium
Lineage: Bacteria
Description: bacterial SSU rRNA
Rfam family: Bacterial small subunit ribosomal RNA
Source: RNAcentral
GAUGAACGCUGGCGGCGUGCCUAAUACAUGCAAGUCGAGCGAACGGACGAGAAGCUUGCUUCUCUGAUGUUAGCGGCGGACGGGUGAGUAACACGUGGAUAACCUACCUAUAAGACUGGGAUAACUUCGGGAAACCGGAGCUAAUACCGGAUAAUAUUUUGAACCGCAUGGUUCAAAAGUGAAAGACGGUCUUGCUGUCACUUAUAGAUGGAUCCGCGCUGCAUUAGCUAGUUGGUAAGGUAACGGCUUACCAAGGCAACGAUGCAUAGCCGACCUGAGAGGGUGAUCGGCCACACUGGAACUGAGACACGGUCCAGACUCCUACGGGAGGCAGCAGUAGGGAAUCUUCCGCAAUGGGCGAAAGCCUGACGGAGCAACGCCGCGUGAGUGAUGAAGGUCUUCGGAUCGUAAAACUCUGUUAUUAGGGAAGAACAUAUGUGUAAGUAACUGUGCACAUCUUGACGGUACCUAAUCAGAAAGCCACGGCUAACUACGUGCCAGCAGCCGCGGUAAUACGUAAGUGGCAAGCGUUAUCCCGAAUUAUUGGGCGUAAAGCGCGCGUAGGCGGUUUUUUAGUCUGAUGUGAAAGCCCACGGCUCAUCCGUGGAGGGUCAUUGGAAACUGGAAAACUUGAGUGCAGAAGAGGAAAGUGGAAUUCCAUGUGUAGCGGUGAAAUGCGCAGAGAUAUGGAGGAACACCAGUGGCGAAGGCGACUUUCUGGUCUGUAACUGACGCUGAUGUGCGAAAGCGUGGGGAUCAAACAGGAUUAGAUACCCUGGUAGUCCACGCCGUAAACGAUGAGUGCUAAGUGUUAGGGGGUUUCCGCCCCUUAGUGCUGCAGCUAACGCAUUAAGCACUCCGCCUGGGGAGUACGACCGCAAGGUUGAAACUCAAAGGAAUUGACGGGGACCCGCACAAGCGGUGGAGCAUGUGGUUUAAUUCGAAGCAACGCGAAGAACCUUACCAAAUCUUGACAUCCUUUGACAACUCUAGAGAUAGAGCUUUCCCCUUCGGGGGACAAAGUGACAGGUGGUGCAUGGUUGUCGUCAGCUCGUGUCGUGAGAUGUUGGGUUAAGUCCCGCAACGAGCGCAACCCUUAAGCUUAGUUGCCAUCAUUAAGUUGGGCACUCUAAGUUGACUGCCGGUGACAAACCGGAGGAAGGUGGGGAUGACGUCAAAUCAUCAUGCCCCUUAUGAUUUGGGCUACACACGUGCUACAAUGGACAAUACAAAGGGCAGCGAAACCGUGAGGUCAAGCAAAUCCCAUAAAGUUGUUCUCAGUUCGGAUUGUAGUCUGCAACUCGACUACAUGAAGCUGGAAUCGCUAGUAAUCGUAGAUCAGCAUGCUACGGUGAAUACGUUCCCGGGUCU